AUACGUAUGUCGCAAGCGUUAUCCGGAUUUAUUGGGCGUAAAGCGCGUCUAGGCGGUUUAGUAAGUCUGAUGUGAAAAUGCGGGGCUCAACCCCGUAUUGCGUUGGAAACUGCUAAACUAGAGUACUGGAGAGGUAGGCGGAACUACAAGUGUAGAGGUGAAAUUCGUAGAUAUUUGUAGGAAUGCCGAUGGGGAAGCCAGCCUACGGGACAGAUACUGACGCUAAAGUGCGAAAGCGUGGGUAGCAAACAGGAUUAGAUACCCUGGUAGUCCACGCCGUAAACGAUGAUUACUAGGUGUUGGGGGUCGAACCUCAGCGCCCAAGCUAACGCGAUAAGUAAUCCGCCUGGGGAGUACGUACGCAAGUAUGAAACUCAAAGGAAUUGACGGGG
Molecule: ribosomal RNA, 392 nt
Filed under: uncultured bacterium
Lineage: Bacteria
Description: partial 16S ribosomal RNA
Rfam family: Bacterial small subunit ribosomal RNA
Source: RNAcentral